Molecule: ribosomal RNA, 430 nt
Filed under: uncultured bacterium
Lineage: Bacteria
Description: bacterial SSU rRNA
Rfam family: Bacterial small subunit ribosomal RNA
Source: RNAcentral
UCGAGGAUCUUUUGCAAUGCCCGAAAGGGUGACAAUGCGACGCCGCGUGCGCGAUGAAGGUUUUCGGAUUGUAAAGCGCUGUCGACCGGGAUGAAUCUCCGGAGGCUUAAUAAGCUUUCAGGGUGACAGUACCGGUAGAGGAAGCCACGGCUAACUCCGUGCCAGCAGCCGCGGUAAUACGGAGGUGGCAAGCGUUACUCGGAUUGAUUGGGUGUAAAGGGUAUGUAGGUGGUGAAUUAAGUCGAAUGUGAAAUCCCUUGGCUUAACCAAGGAACUGCAUUCGAAACUGAUUCGCUUGAGCGAUGGAGAGGAAAGCGGAAUUCCCGGUGUAACAGUGAAAUGUGUAGAUAUCGGGAGGAACACCAGUGGCGAAGGCGGCUUUCUGGACAUUUGCUGACACUGAAAUACGAAAGCUAGGGGAGCAAACAGG